This 371-nucleotide ribosomal RNA is filed under the name uncultured bacterium. Its description in RNAcentral is "bacterial SSU rRNA". It matches the Rfam family "Bacterial small subunit ribosomal RNA", at positions 527 to 898 of the family's 1533-position model. The record is from RNAcentral.
GGAGGGAGCAAGCGUUACUCGGAAUUAUUGGGCGUAAAGGGCGCGUAGGCGAUCUGACAAGUCCUGUGUGAAAGCCCAGAGCUUAACUCUGGAAGUGCACAGGAGACUGCCUGGAUUUGAGUUCAGGAGAGGAAAGCAGAAUUCCCGGUGUAGCGGUGAAAUGCGUAGAGAUCGGGAGGAAUACCAGUGGCGAAGGCGGCUUUCUGGACUGACACUGACGCUGAGGCGCGAAAGCCAGGGGAGCAAACGGGAUUAGAUACCCCGGUAGUCCUGGCUGUAAACGAUGUGCACUUGGUGUGAGCCGGUUUUCGGUUCGUGCCGAAGUUAACGCAAUAAGUGCACCGCCUGGGGAGUACGGUCGCAAGGCUGAA